UCGUGGGGGAAGGGAGGGCUGGCUCGCGGGUGGAUCUCAGAGGAGUCGGAUGGGAUGGCCUCUCCUUCCACACACCCCGCCCCCACCUCCACCCCGGAGAAGCGUUAACCCGUCACCGCGGCGGUGGGCGGUGCGCGGGGCUUCCGGGUUCCGCGGCGCUAACCACCCCUCACGUGCACGGCCGUUCGGGCCUCUUCCCGCCUCGGCCAGCCCUGCUCCGCUCGCCUCCGUCCCGGAGGGACCCUGGGCACGGGUGGGCCGGCGUGGUCCCUUCCAGGCCCAGUUUCCGAAAGCUGUGCUCAAUGAAAUGUCCAAGAAAUAAUGUUACUUCACCACAUGAGCCUGAUAAUAUGCACUCCUAAUGCCUACAUUCUUGGGUCUAAUAUUUUUCACUGCAAGGAAGCACAAUAUGCCUUAGAAAAAUGGCUGAUUCAUGUCUGGGUCUGGGAAGAUACAGGAUCCCAGAAGGUGGCCUGUCUGCCAUCUUGACAACUGAUCGGACGGCUUGCAUUUGGAGUGUGAAGAAUCUUCAUUUCAUAAGACAGACGAGGAUAGCAGCAGGUAGAACCCACGGGAGCCCCUACUCAGGGCACCCCACCCGUACAGAGGAGUCCCAAAUUGUAAGAUGCCUCCUCCUUUUUCUUUCAAACUUAUAUUUUGAGCCAAAUCAUGCUAAACUUUGUGAAGCGACCCAAGAUGUCAUACUAUGAAAAACACGGACUAUGAUUUUUUUAAAAAAACAAUAGUAUGAUUACAAUUUUAAUCAUAUGUAAGCUUCUUUAGUGGCUUUCCAUUGCACAGAGAAUAAAAUCCAAACUCCACACCAAGGCCCGCCAGGCUUUGUGUGAUCUGCCUCCAGACUUCUUAAUCACUAGGCUCCAACCACACACGCCUCUUAACAGGGCCAGCCCUUUCCUGCCUCAGGGCCUUUGCGCUCACUGUUCUCUCAGUCUAACAGGCUCUUUUCUGGGCUCUUUCUGUGGCUCUCUACUUCAUUCUCUGACCUCAGCUUAAAGGUCACCAUCUUCUUGAUGUCUUUUCUCAAUGUGCCAUCCAUUGUACUCCUUCACUCCCGCCCCCACAUCACUUUCUUCAUAGCACUUACUAUGAUCUAUAAUUAUUUUGUUUAUUUGCAUUUUAUCUCUCUACCACUGGAGUAUAAGAUCCCUGAGAACAGGAACUUGAACUGUCUUCACGGAUAUAGCUCCAGGACCUAACACGGUGUGUGGCAUACAGUUGGUAUACAAUUAAUACUUGCUAAAACAAAAUAUGCUGAGUGAGCAAAUGCUGAAUACACUUCAAACAUGGUGUCCAGAACAUGAGAACAUUUGCACAAGUGUCAUGUCUUUCAAAUAGUUCCUUAUAAUUGAAUACACAUAGUAAAUUACUCUAAAAGAAAUACUGUUUUUAUAUGCUUUUGAUUCCAUUAACAGCUCUCUGUAGUCCUAUUUACUUCUUCUGUAAGUCAGAGAUGUUUACUGUGUUUGAAUCACUAAAGGAACUUGGACCUGCUAUGCUAUGUCAUCUAUGAAGUGGUGCUGCUUAUGCCAUAGUGUACGCGCUUCUCGCCUGACAAUGUUUUCAAGUCACUCCAUCGGCAUGUAUUGGUCAUUAUGUCAACAUUUAUUCGUGUUACCUUGUCAUUGCUGAAAAAUAUACAUUCAUGUGGCACUGUAAA
Long non-coding RNA from Ailuropoda melanoleuca (giant panda), 1678 nucleotides. RefSeq lists it as uncharacterized. The record is from RefSeq and is a predicted model, not a curated record. The transcript has 3 exons. Lineage: Eukaryota; Metazoa; Chordata; Mammalia; Carnivora; Ursidae.